UACGUAGGUGGCGAGCGUUGUCCGGAAUUAUUGGGCGUAAAGGGCGUGUAGGCGGCCAAGUAAGUUGGGGGUGAAACCUCAGGGCUUAACCCUGAGCAUGCCUCCAAAACUGCGUGGCUUGAGUGCUCUAGAGGGCAGUGGAAUUCCCGGUGUAGCAGUGAAAUGCGUAGAGAUCGGGAGGAACACCAGUGGCGAAGGCGACUGCCUGGGGAGUAACUGACGCUGAGGCGCGAAAGCUGGGGGAGCGAACAGG
RNAcentral lists this unclassified non-coding RNA (253 nucleotides) under uncultured Eubacteriales bacterium. Its description in RNAcentral is "contains 16S-23S intergenic spacer region". It matches the Rfam family "Bacterial small subunit ribosomal RNA", at positions 524 to 776 of the family's 1533-position model. The record is from RNAcentral. Lineage: Bacteria; Bacillati; Bacillota; Clostridia; Eubacteriales.